This is a non-coding RNA of Sphagnurus paluster, 100 nucleotides long. Lineage: Eukaryota; Fungi; Basidiomycota; Agaricomycetes; Agaricales; Lyophyllaceae. The record is from the annotation of a GenBank genome assembly.
GGCGCUAUAGUGUAGUGGCUAUCACUCGGGAUUUUGAUAUGUUUCUUAGAAUAUUCAAUGGAUCUUUCCCGUAACCCAGGUUCGAACCCUGGUAGUGCCU